Prosopis cineraria is the source of this 678-nucleotide long non-coding RNA. RefSeq lists it as uncharacterized. The transcript has 5 exons. The record is from RefSeq and is a predicted model, not a curated record. Lineage: Eukaryota; Viridiplantae; Streptophyta; Magnoliopsida; Fabales; Fabaceae.
AGGAUUCACUUCCCCUCCUAAAACCCCGGUAGCAAGCGCCAGCCGCCGUCUCCAGCCGGUUAUGAGUUAUGACUUAUUCGACGACAAGAAGAUUUCGAGGACCAGAGGUUAGACUUUCAUAAUGGACGCUCUUCUUGAGAUGAUUUUGAUCGAUUCUGGUCUUGGAACACGAAUCUAUCAGUCUCCUUCUUGAUCAGCUUCAUCCCGACCGAUCUUGUCGUCAUUCUCUGAUUCUCCUCAGCAUUGAAACCUACUACAAUCCCCCUUGCGGGAGCACCGGUUAGGCUGUACGCAUGACCAAUGCACAGUAGCAUUCUUACCUAUUCACGAAACAAGCACAAACAGCUUUGGUAGCUGAGAAGCUAUAUAUGAAAUUACAUGUUAUUGUGAGUUGGCAAAAAAUCUAUUCAAUCUCAAGUUGGGCAGACAGGAAGAAGAUGGGUCAUGGGAGUAAUGUUGCGGUUGGAGGAUAGGUUUCACUACUUGUACAAAGGAAAAGUUUUCUUCAACUACACGUUGUAUACAAUCGAGGAAGUGCCGCAUAUCUAUGUAAGGAUAUUUUGCUGAUGGCUGCAGAUGCUCGCCCAAUUCAGGUCAGGUGCUCUUGACUUCUUCUGCCCGUUUAAUUCGUUACAAUACAGAACCCAGGCAGAGAUUAAGAUAAGCACAGAGGGAGGG